Non-coding RNA from Podarcis lilfordi (Lilford's wall lizard), 70 nucleotides. Lineage: Eukaryota; Metazoa; Chordata; Lepidosauria; Squamata; Lacertidae. The record is from the annotation of a GenBank genome assembly.
CAGUAGCUGAGUGGUAGAUCAUCUGCCUUGGAUGCAGAAGUUCCUAGGUUCAGUCCCUAACAUAUCAAGG